GAUGAACGCUGGCGGCGUGCCUAAUACAUGCAAGUCGAGCGAACGGACGAGAAGCUUGCUUCUCUGAUGUUAGCGGCGGACGGGUGAGUAACACGUGGAUAACCUACCUAUAAGACUGGGAUAACUUCGGGAAACCGGAGCUAAUACCGGAUGAUAUUUUGAACCGCAUGGUUCAAAAGUGAAAGACGGUCUUGCUGUCACUUAUAGAUGGAUCCGCGCUGCAUUAGCUAGUUGGUAAGGUAACGGCUUACCAAGGCAACGAUGCAUAGCCGACCUGAGAGGGUGAUCGGCCACCCUGGAACUGAGACACGGUCCAGACUCCUACGGGAGGCAGCAGUAGGGAAUCUUCCGCAAUGGGCGAAAGCCUGACGGAGCAACGCCGCGUGAGUGAUGAAGGUCUUCGGAUCGUAAAACUCUGUUAUUAGGGAAGAACAUAUGUGUAAGUAACUGUGCACAUCUUGACGGUACCUAAUCAGAAAGCCACGGCUAACUACG
This 495-nucleotide ribosomal RNA is filed under the name uncultured bacterium. RNAcentral's name for it is "partial 16S ribosomal RNA". It matches the Rfam family "Bacterial small subunit ribosomal RNA", at positions 28 to 505 of the family's 1533-position model. The record is from RNAcentral.